Long non-coding RNA from Lepus europaeus (European hare), 400 nucleotides. RefSeq lists it as uncharacterized. The record is from RefSeq and is a predicted model, not a curated record. NCBI's taxonomy places the organism in Eukaryota, Metazoa, Chordata, Mammalia, Lagomorpha, Leporidae. The transcript has 3 exons.
CGGAAGCGUUGCCCGAGGCCGGAAGGGGACGGUCACCCUAGGGGGCUUCCCGCUGAGAGGGUCUGCGGUCCCGGCUCCGACAAAGGAGCUGUGGCCCUGAUCUCCAGCCUGGGCUCUGAUUCUGUGAUGUGAAGACCUCCAGGGGUGCUAUCUACUAGGGGUGCUGAGGAACACCAGGGCGACAACAGGCUCUCUGCUAUAGCCUGGGAAAGCAGUGGAAGCUGACCAAGUCCUUGGCCAUGCACCUGUUUGGGAGACUGGGAAGAAGCUGCUGACCGGAAGAAGCUCCUCGCUCCUAAUCAGCUCAGCUCUGACCAUUGUGGUCAUUCGGAGUGAACCAGUGGAUGAAAGACCUCUCUCUCUCUCUCUCUCUCUCUCUCUCUCUCUCUCUCUCUCUCUG